Molecule: ribosomal RNA, 468 nt
Filed under: uncultured bacterium
Lineage: Bacteria
Description: partial 16S ribosomal RNA
Rfam family: Bacterial small subunit ribosomal RNA
Source: RNAcentral
GACGAACGCUGGCGGCGUGCUUAACACAUGCAAGUCGAACGGAAAGGCCCUGCUUUUGUGGGGUGCUCGAGUGGCGAACGGGUGAGUAACACGUGAGUAACCUGCCCUUGACUUUGGGAUAACUUCAGGAAACUGGGGCUAAUACCGGAUAGGAGCUCCUGCUGCAUGGUGGGGGUGGGAAAGUUUCGGCGGUUGGGGAUGGACUCGCGGCUUAUCAGCUUGUUGGUGGGGUAGUGGCUUACCAAGGCUUUGACGGGUAGCCGGCCUGAGAGGGUGACCGGCCACAUUGGGACUGAGAUACGGCCCAGACUCCUACGGGAGGCAGCAGUGGGGAAUAUUGCACAAUGGGCGGAAGCCUGAUGCAGCAACGCCGCGUGCGGGAUGACGGCCUUCGGGUUGUAACCCGCUUUCGCCUGUGACGAAGCGUGAGUGACGGUAAUGGGUAAAGAAGCACCGGCUAACUACGUG